GAUGAACGCUGGCGGCGUGCCUAAUACAUGCAAGUCGAGCGAACAGACGAGGAGCUUGCUCCUCUGACGUUAGCGGCGGACGGGUGAGUAACACGUGGAUAACCUACCUAUAAGACUGGGAUAACUUCGGGAAACCGGAGCUAAUACCGGAUAAUAUAUUGAACCGCAUGGUUCAAUAGUGAAAGACGGUUUUGCUGUCACUUAUAGAUGGAUCCGCGCCGCAUUAGCUAGUUGGUAAGGUAACGGCUUACCAAGGCAACGAUGCGUAGCCGACCUGAGAGGGUGAUAGGCCACACUGGAACUGAGACACGGUCCAGACUCCUACGGAAGGCAGCAGUAGGGAAUCUUCCGCAAUGGGCGAAAGCCUGACGGAGCAACGCCGCGUGAGUGAUGAAGGUCUUCGGAUCGUAAAACUCUGUUAUUAGGGAAGAACAAAUGUGUAAGUAACUAUGCACGUCUUGACGUACCUAAUCAGAAAGCCACGGCUAACUACGUG
RNAcentral lists this ribosomal RNA (496 nucleotides) under uncultured bacterium. RNAcentral describes it as "partial 16S ribosomal RNA". It matches the Rfam family "Bacterial small subunit ribosomal RNA", at positions 28 to 507 of the family's 1533-position model. The record is from RNAcentral.